GUGAGGAAUAUUGCGCAAUGGCCGAAAGGCUGACGCAGCGACGCCGCGUGGAGGAUGAAGUCCGUUAGGAUGUAAACUCCUUUUGCAGGGGAUGAAUAGUCCGCCUUGUGCGGAUCUGACCGUACCCUGCGAAUAAGGAUCGGCUAACUACGUGCCAGCAGCCGCGGUAAUACGUAGGAUCCGAGCGUUGUCCGGAAUUACUGGGUGUAAAGGGCGUGUAGGUGGGCUUGCAAGUCGGUGGUGAAAUCCUGCAGCUUAACUGCAGAAUGGCCUCCGAGACUGCAGGUCUUGAGUGCGGCAGAGGGAGAUGGAAUUCAUGGUGUAGCGGUGAAAUGUGUAGAUAUCAUGAAGAACACCGGUGGCGAAGGCGGUCUCCUGGUCCGUAACUGACACUGAGGCGCGAAAGCGUGGGGAGCAAACAGGAUUAGAAACCCGUGUAGUCC
This 443-nucleotide ribosomal RNA is filed under the name uncultured bacterium. Its description in RNAcentral is "bacterial SSU rRNA". It matches the Rfam family "Bacterial small subunit ribosomal RNA", at positions 354 to 796 of the family's 1533-position model. The record is from RNAcentral.